Molecule: long non-coding RNA, 7042 nt
Filed under: Arabidopsis lyrata
Lineage: Eukaryota; Viridiplantae; Streptophyta; Magnoliopsida; Brassicales; Brassicaceae
Description: long non-coding RNA (ALYR_LNC000283)
Source: RNAcentral
AAGAGAAUGUAGAGAGACAAGUCUUGGAACAAGCUCCAAGGCUGCCUAGAAACUUAACAAAAUAUUAAAGAUAGAAUUUGAAUAGAAAAGACCCUUUGGCUUCAAAGAUGACUCUUGAACUCCUAUUUUCGUCACUCCUCUUGGCCAGCAAAUUAAGCACUUGGUUUGGAGUCUUCUUGGGCUUGUAAUGGCAAUAAAAUGGGCUGGACUUGAUAGCUAACACCUUGGAAGAUUUUCUGAAUAUUCUGGCCCGGUCUUGAUCAUCAAAUGGGUGAUUUGGAUGUGAAUCAUUUGCCUCAUUAAAAACCUUUCUUUGGAAAACCCAUUGGGAUAAAACCAAAGAUAAGGGAAAAAGAGUACAAAUGAGACACAUGCCCAUUUGUUGAUCAUGUAUCAAAACCAACGAGGUUAAGAUAACUUCUUUUGCGUUAUUUUCCUCAGCUACAAGCUGCUCCUUAGCUCCAUUUUCCUCAGCUACAAGCUGCUUCCUAGCUCCAAGCUUCUCAGGUUCAAGCAGCUCCAUAUCUCCAUUGUCCGAGCUAUCCAUGAUCACAUCAUCCCCUCCCUCUUGAAAAAGAUUUGUCCUCAAAUCUGCUUCUUCUGCAACAAAAGGGAUUAAGUUAGAAAAGUUGAAACUUAAGCUCAGAUUAUACUUACCUUGCAAGCUUUGGUCAUAAGCUUUUUCUCUGGUUGGCUCAAAGAUCUGAAAUGAAAAAUUGCUUCUUGGCGUCAGCUGGAUCUGUUUGUUGUUUGGAAAACACUUCAUUUGAAUCCAGAAACAUCCACCAGGGUCAAAGAUCAUUCUCCAUUGCCUCUUGUUUCCUUGCCAUUCAUCCUGCUCAUUUCUCAACUGCUCGCAUGGAUCAUAAUCAAUCUUAACAGUAAACCUCAUUAGCCACAAGUUAAAUAGCCACGUUUCUGGUGCAUGAGCUUUCAUUGCUUCCCUUUGUAUAACCUGUGCUUUCACCACAAAUACUCGAAAAACAGGAUCAUAGGUGCAAAAGGUAUACUUCUUUUCUUCAACAAACAGGUAAUUACUUAGAUCAUCUAAACAAGAUCUCAGAAAUUUAGCAUGAUCAUCAAAGAUUUGGUUAUAAACUAGAAUAUCAAAACCUUCAGUGAAUGGAUAGGAAACAGAAAAAGCCUCUUUAGUUUUAACGUAUGAAAUGCAGUAGGCUAUCCUAGAGAGAUUAUCAAACUCAAACAUAGAAUCAUUCAAGAAACAGUUAAGCUCAAACAGUUUAAUUUUAUUAAGCAUAAAUCCUUUAGUUCUAUAUGUAAAUUGAUCAUAAGGCUGAAACACAUCUUUAAUUCCAUCAUGAGAAUCGUAAGACUCUUUAGCCUGCUCAAAAUCUAGCAACCUAUCAUUGGGUAUAGCAAGAAAUUCAUACCUUUGAGUCGUUGUAUCAGUUACAACAUGUUUCUUACCUUGUUUGCUCUGGAUGAUAUAAAGAAAGGUCUUACUGGAUUCGCCUGAUUCAUCAAGGAAUUGAUGUUCAAGUCCAAAGAAUGGUGGUAAUCCUCCUGGGUUGUUUUCUUCAAAUUCCUGCAAGAGACACUUGAUUUUGCUAGGUAUGACCUGCUCAGGAUUAGUUAGACUCAUAAGAGUCUCUUUAUAAACAAACAAUUGCUUAGGCUUUUGAAAACAACUUCCCCUUUCCUUUUUCUCGGUGAUCAUGAGGUUGGUUUGAGGUUGAUGCAAAUCUGGUGGUUUUUCUUUGAUUGUCAUUUCUCUUAUGUGCUUAUGCUUCUCCAAAACUCUUGUUCCAGAAAAAGGCAUAAUGACAUGUUUUGGCAUAUGGCUGGUUGGCCGUUCCAUUUCACUAAUCAAUGACAAACUCCUCGGUUCUCCUUCUAAUGAUUUUUCCUCAAGCAACUGUGACAGAAGAACAAUACUACUCGGUUGCUCCGGUUCAAAAUGGGUUAGUUUGUCAAGCACAAAAUCAGAUUGAAUACAAGAAAGAGUACACUUAGCUUGUAAGGAGGUGAGAUGCUUCAGAGUUUUGUUUUCAGUUUGCUCUUCCUUGUUGCUUAAGUGUUGCUGGUUUUGAUCAGCAUUGUAUGGUUGAGUCUCCACCUUGUCUUUGUUGCUGUUUUCAGAAUUUUCUUCUAGCACAAUAAGCUCCUUGCAGAUUGGUAAAGACUGAUCUGAUUCUGAUUUUUGAAUAACCAUUUCCCUCUUAAGAAAACUUGAUCUCUCAUUUGCUGUUUCAGAACCAACAGAUUUGGUAGUGCUUGGAUUUUUCUUUUGGCUUUUCUCAACAGCCUUAAAUGCUUCCAUCACCCGCUUGUGCACUUCUUCAUAAUCUAUUUGUGUACUCAGCUGGUUCAGAAGUGGUUUAGCUUUCUUGAAACUUCUCUGAACAUCACGGUUGCAGUAGUCAUGAUUUGCUUUAUCUCUUACUGAUCUGCUUCUCCAGUUAGGCUUCUCUUGGGGUCUCCUUGGUGGUGGCUCUCUAUGGUAGUGACUUGGUACGAAUCUCUUUCUCAUUAUGUUCUUCAUUUCAGUCCAAGUCUCUACUGGAUAAUCCCCUACACGUCUCCUUGUAGUAACCAAAUGAUCCCACCAGCUUAGUGCAUAAUUCUGAAAUUCAGUAGACGCAACUUUAACCUUGUUGGCCUCGGUACACUCUUGGCAAACAAAGACUAACUCAAUUUUCUGCUCCCACUCCAAGUAAGUAUCCGGAUUGUUGGUUCCGUGAAAAGCGGGAAUCUUGAGUUUUAUUUUUCCCAAAGGAUCUCUAGGCGGGGGUCUUUCUCUUCGCUGCCUACGUUGACUAUUGUAAGAGGAGGCAUGGCUGUAGUAAUUUCUUGCUUCAUCAUAUUGCCUUGGUUCCUCUUGUUGUUGCCUUUGACGUUGAUUUGGUUCCGGGUUGAUUUGAUUCAAGUGUAGAGCACCAAGCUUCUCGUCGAUCAUUGUUGCCAUUGCAGCUGUGACGGAUUUCAAGAUUUUUCUCUCCAAGCUAGAGGUGGAUGACUCUUCGUCUUCAGAUGUCACCAUUGUACCUGAAAAAUCGAAAAUCUAACAAGUAAACAGUCCAAAAACAGACAAAUCUAAACGGAUCUGGAAAAAUAUCAAAACGAUUCCAAAAAUUCAAAAAUCAAUUUUCAAAACUACUAGACUCGUUACUGGUUCGAACGCAAUUGGUUUCACAAUUUUUCAACAAGCCAAUUAUUUUUCAAAAUUAAAACAAGAUGCGAUCAGAAAUCUGGAAAAAAAGUGAAAUCGAGAAAAAAGAAAAUUUAGGGUUGGAACAUCAAAACCUGAUAACAAAGUGGCUCUGAUACCACAUGAUAGACUCCUAGAUGAGGAUCUACUCCCAAGAACACACUUUGUUGGUUUUGAACAUGAAGGAUGCAGCGGAAUGGAAGAAGAGCGAGAUCGUAGGUGGAAGAUGAACGGACAAACGGAUGAACGGUUGCAGCGGAUUGAAGGUGGAACGUUUUGUACUUCCAAGAGAGGUGGAAAUCUCUUAGACUACGAGCUUGAAUACACCUUAGAUAUUACACACUAAGAAGGAAACAAGUUGAGAAGAUAUUACGCACUUCUCGGAUCAAACAAGUAAAAGAGAGAUUUUUGAUAAAAUGUUUGAUAAGUUCUCAUAAGAGAAUACAUAGAGAAUAUAUAGAGGAGAAGGAGAGAAGAGAAUGUAGAGAGACAAGUCUUGGAACAAGCUCCAAGGCUGCCUAGAAACUUAACAAAAUAUUAAAGAUAGAAUUUGAAUAGAAAAGACCCUUUGGCUUCAAAGAUGACUCUUGAACUCCUAUUUUCGUCACUCCUCUUGGCCAGCAAAUUAAGCACUUGGUUUGGAGUCUUCUUGGGCUUGUAAUGGCAAUAAAAUGGGCUGGACUUGAUAGCUAACACCUUGGAAGAUUUUCUGAAUAUUCUGGCCCGGUCUUGAUCAUCAAAUGGGUGAUUUGGAUGUGAAUCAUUUGCCUCAUUAAAAACCGUUCUUUGGAAAACCCAUUGGGAUAAAACCAAAGAUAAGGGAAAAAGAGUACAAAUGAGACACAUGCCCAUUUGUUGAUCAUGUAUCAAAACCAACGAGGUUAAGAUAACUUCUUUUGCGUUAUUUUCCUCAGCUACAAGCUGCUCCUUAGCUCCAUUUUCCUCAGCUACAAGCUGCUUCCUAGCUCCAAGCUUCUCAGGUUCAAGCAGCUCCAUAUCUCCAUUGUCCGAGCUAUCCAUGAUCACAUCAUGGAGAUCUUUCUCUUCACUUGGUUCAAUACUCCCCCGCAAGCUUGAGCGUCGGGACAAUAAGGACCAAAGGUCAAGCUUGGAGAUCUUCGGCCUUGUCGUCAUGACUUCGGCCUUGACUCCUUUCUACUUCUUCUUAUAUUUUAAUACCCUCCCGCACGUUUGAUCGUCGGGACAACAUGAGGACCAGAGAUCAAGCGUGGACUCGUGUCGACUACCUCAUUAAAAACCUUAACAAAGAAAACCACUUGGGAUAAAACUUUGUUAAGGGAAAAAGAGUAUAGCCUUCACGGUCAUUGAUGUCGCUAUGAUCUUGGUUUGUUAAGAACCGGCUCUCUUCUCUUCAAGUCUUUGAACCGCUACACUGUCUUUAACCCGCUUCUCAUGAUCUCCAAUCUUGCACUUCUCGAAUUUCUUUGAGGCUCUCAUAGUCUCCUUUACCCUUUAAACAAGUGAUAAAGAAGAGUGUAUAAGUAUAUGCUAUGAGGAAUAUCAAAGAAAAUUCUAAGAAUGUGACAAGUCUAAGGGAAACAUAUUCGAGCAUAAAGACUAGCAAUUGAACUACGGUAAUGAAUUUAAAUAGAGUAGAGUUUUAGAGCACAGCCUUUGGUUUGAAUCGCCAUUCUUGAUGAUGGCUUCUUUUCUUUAUCCCUUGAGAGAACUUCUUCAACGUGAAUUGAAGAGGACUUUUGGAUUCAUCAUGAUUUUAAAUGCUUUGAACAUUUCGUUCAAAGACAUCCCAUGGUUCUCUUCCCCCUUCUUUCCUCCGUGAGUCUCUUCUUCAAGGGCUUUGAUUUUGUGGUCGCCAUUUCUUCUUGGAAUUCUCUCAAGAAGAGAUGGAAGGCAUAAGCCUGAGAAUAAGAGACAAAAAUGAAAGUGUAUGUUACCAAGAAUAAGAGAAUAAAGAGUAUAAAGAGUAUAAAGAGUAUGGACUCAAGAGUGCCAAUGGACAAAGUUCUUAGCUUUGUUUUCUUGAGUUGAGGUUGAGAGUAUGUGGGGUUUAGUAACCAGAAUGGGCAUGAGAAUUGAAGCCGCUCCCUUUCUUCAACACGGGUAGCCAUUAUUUUCUACUCCGGGUUCUUCAAGGUCUAACUCCAAGACGCCAUGAUACUUCCAACGAGUACCAAUCAUGUUGUCUACUUCGUGGACUCCAUGGCUACUCCAAACUGAACUUUUGUUGCGGUUUGAGCUCUCUUCUUGAGGUCUCUAGAUCGCUUCUUAGAACAUGUUAAACCAUGAUGGUUUUAACCCUUUUCGAGCCUUGAAACCUUGUACAUCAAUGACUUUGAAGUCUUGUGCACAUUCAAACUUGAGCUCCAUGACUUUGACACUUGAAUGCGUGAGUUUGAUUCAGCAUUCCCACCAGAUUUCUUCUCUAAUUUGAUCGUCCACCAAUGUCACUUCCUUUCUAACAACCACUUGAGUUCGCUGGCCAGAUUUCUUCUUCGGGUUGUCUUGAGUUUUGACUUGGUUGGAUCGUCUAAAUGGGCUUCAAAUAUAACCGGCUCUACUCUUCACUUUCUUAGUCCUUCAUGACUGGUUCUGAAUCCUUUCCUUGUCAACUUUUACUUCCUUGAGGCUCUCAUUGGUCUCUUUGAGGCUCUUAUGGUCUCCUUCACCCUUAAACAAGAGAUAAAGAAGAAAAGAUUAAGUUUUGCCAUAAGGAAUAUCAAAGAGAAUAUCAAAUGAGGAAUAUCAAGGCUAUUAAGCAACAAUUAGGAGUUCAUGUAUAUAUUAAACUGUGAAUUCUAAGGCAAUGGUUUAAUGAAGAAUAUCAUGAAAUGAGAGUAGAGUUUAGAAACAGCCUUUAUUUGAAGAAGACUUGAACUUGUGCGGUUUGUUCGUCUAAUGGACUUCAAGUCUGAUGGUGAAUGGUUCUAACCCUCCCGCAAACUUAUAGUGCCCAGAUUAUCCAUCCAUUAAUCUCUAACAAAUGCAUUCGCCUUCUCUUUAUGAGACAAGCGAUUCCUUGCAAAACAGAUUAGAGUUAAUGGACACCAAAACAAACAAAAAUGGUGAGAGAUUAGUGUAAGUGAAUAGAAUGAGCAGAAAUAAAGGAGAAUAAUAGUAUAAAGACAAUAAAGGAGAAUGGAGAAUAGAGAGUUUGCUCAAGAGUUCAAAUGGACAGAGUUUAGCUCUGUUUUCUUGAGUUAAGCGGAAGCUUUAACAACCAAGGCAUCCAAUAAUCAUCAAGACUUUGGUGCUUUAAUGGCUGAAACAAUAUGGACCGUUGGGCAAUUCAUUUACCCACCGGUUUAAGACAUAAACACACCGAAAUAACUCAUGACCAAGAGUUUUCCGGUGACUUUAAAGAACUAUGAACCACGAAAUACCAUAUUGAAGAUGGUUUCCGUGGCCUAGUUUUAAAGAAACCAUUGGAACAAAACAGUUUGUCCAAUGGAAUCCUCAAUUUCUCUUCACAUGCUUGGUCUAAGAACUUUAACAAGACUAGAAUCCAAGCUUUUCUCAACAUUGAGCUGCUAGAGAAAUGAUUUUAACAAUAAAAGCUGAAACUUUAAAGAAUCUAGUCUAAAGCUGAAACCUUUAAAGAAGCUAAGCAAUUUAACAACUAAGAGAAAUUUAGAAAUAACUUGAGAACGAUUUUAAGAGUUCCAAGAGAGCAACCCGCUCUGAUACCAUGUUGGAUUUGAAGAGACUAAGCUCAUAAGAAAGAGUAAACAAUCACUUGGUGAUUGAAUCUCAGUUUAUCCACACAAAGGGAACUCAUUCUCAAGAGGAAGAAACCAUCAACUUGUGAUGGAAUCCACACCAAUAUAGCUUGAUAGAACCGAAAUCUCUAUGGAGAGAAUCGAUCCUAGCAAGACAACUAUCUCUAGUAUGAAG